CCUACGGGAGGCUGCAGUGAGGAAUAUUGGUCAAUGGACGAGAGUCUGAACCAGCCAAGUAGCGUGAAGGAUGACUGCCCUAUGGGUUGUAAACUUCUUUUAUAUGGGAAUAAAAUGUUCCACGUGUGGGAUUUUGUAUGUACCAUAUGAAUAAGGAUCGGCUAACUCCGUGCCAGCAGCCGCGGUAAUACGGAGGAUCCGAGCGUUAUCCGGAUUUAUUGGGUUUAAAGGGAGCGUAGGUGGAUUGUUAAGUCAGUUGUGAAAGUUUGCGGCUCAACCGUAAAAUUGCAGUUGAAACUGGCAGUCGUGAGUACAGUAGAGGUGGGCGGAAUUCGUGGUGUAGGGGUGAAAUGCUUAGAUAUCACGAAGAACUCCGAUUGCGAAGGCAGCUCACUGGACUGCAACUGACACUGAGGCUCGAAAGUGUGGGUAUCAAACAGGAUUAGAUACCCGUGUAGUC
Molecule: ribosomal RNA, 460 nt
Filed under: uncultured bacterium
Lineage: Bacteria
Description: partial 16S ribosomal RNA
Rfam family: Bacterial small subunit ribosomal RNA
Source: RNAcentral